GUUUUAAUCGAUGGGGGGACGCAGUAGGAUAGGCGAAGCGUGCGAUUGGAUUGCACGUCUAAGCAGUAAGGCUGAGUAUUAGGCAAAUCCGGUACUCGUUAAGGCUGAGCUGUGAUGGGGAGAAGACAUUGUGUCUUCGAGUCGUUGAUUUCACACUGCCGAGAAAAGCCUCUAGAUAGAAAAUAGGUGCCCGUACCGCAAACCGACACAGGUAGUCAAGAUGAGAAUUCUAAGGUGAGCGAGCGAACUCUCGUUAAGGAACUCGGCAAAAUGACCCCGUAACUUCGGGAGAAGGGGUGCUCUUUAGGGUUAACGCCCAGAAGAGCCGCAGUGAAUAGGCCCAAGCGACUGUUUAUCAAAAACACAGGUCUCUGCUAAACCGUAAGGUGAUGUAUAGGGGCUGACGCCUGCCCGGUGCUGGAAGGUUAAGAGGAGUGGUUAGCUUCUGCGAAGCUACGAAUCGAAGCCCCAGUAAACGGCGGCCGUAACUAUAACGGUCCUAAGGUAGCGAAAUUCCUUGUCGGGUAAGUUCCGACCCGCACGAAAGGCGUAACGAUUUGGGCACUGUCUCAACGAGAGACUCGGUGAAAUCAUAGUACCUGUGAAGAUGCAGGUUACCCGCGACAGGACGGAAAGACCCCGUGGAGCUUUACUGUAGCCUGAUAUUGAAAUUCGGCACAGCUUGUACAGGAUAGGUAGGAGCCUUUGAAACGUGAGCGCUAGCUUACGUGGAGGCGCUGGUGGGAUACUACCCUAGCUGUGUUGGCUUUCUAACCCGCACCACUUAUCGUGGUGGGAGACAGUGUCAGGCGGGCAGUUUGACUGGGGCGGUCGCCUCCUAAAAGGUAACGGAGGCGCUCAAAGGUUCCCUCAGAAUGGUUGGAAAUCAUUCAUAGAGUGUAAAGGCAUAAGGGAGCUUGACUGCGAGACCUACAAGUCGAGCAGGGUCGAAAGACGGACUUAGUGAUCCGGUGGUUCCGCAUGGAAGGGCCAUCGCUCAACGGAUAAAAGCUACCCCGGGGAUAACAGGCUUAUCUCCCCCAAGAGUUCACAUCGACGGGGAGGUUUGGCACCUCGAUGUCGGCUCAUCGCAUCCUGGGGCUGUAGUCGGUCCCAAGGGUUGGGCUGUUCGCCCAUUAAAGCGGUACGCGAGCUGGGUUCAGAACGUCGUGAGACAGUUCGGUCCCUAUCCGUCGUGGGCGUAGGAAAUUUGAGAGGAGCUGUCCUUAGUACGAGAGGACCGGGAUGGACAUACCUCUGGUGUACCAGUUGUCGUGCCAACGGCAUAGCUGGGUAGCUAUGUGUGGACGGGAUAAGUGCUGAAAGCAUCUAAGCAUGAAGCCCCCCUCAAGAUGAGAUUUCCCAACUUCGGUUAUAAGAUCCCUCAAAGAUGAUGAGGUUAAUAGGUUCGAGGUGGAAGCAUGGUGACAUGUGGAGCUGACGAAUACUAAUCGAUCGAAGACUUAAUCAA
RNAcentral lists this ribosomal RNA (1471 nucleotides) under Staphylococcus aureus. RNAcentral's name for it is "partial 23S ribosomal RNA". It matches the Rfam family "Bacterial large subunit ribosomal RNA", at positions 1450 to 2925 of the family's 2925-position model. The record is from RNAcentral. Lineage: Bacteria; Bacillati; Bacillota; Bacilli; Caryophanales; Staphylococcaceae.